AGGUUGAUUAUGGCUCAGGAUGAACGCUAGCUACAGGCUUAACACAUGCAAGUCGAGGGGCAGCAUGAUCAAAGCUUGCUUGAUUGAUGGCGACCGGCGCACGGGUGAGUAACGCGUAUCCAACCUUCCCUAUAGUAGUGGAUAGCCCGGCGAAAGUCGGAUUAAUACACUAUGUUGUAUUUAGAGGACAUCUGAAGAAUACCAAAGGCUUGCCGCUAUAGGAUGGGGAUGCGUCUGAUUAGAUAGUAGGCGGGGUAACGGCCCACCUAGUCGACGAUCAGUAGGGGUUCUGAGAGGAAGGUCCCCCACAUUGGAACUGAGACACGGUCCAAACUCCUACGGGAGGCAGCAGUGAGGAAUAUUGGUCAAUGGACGGGAGUCUGAACCAGCCAAGUAGCCGUGCAGGAUGACGGCCCUAUGGGUUGUAAACUGCUUUUAUACGGGGAUAAAGUGAGCCACGUGUGGCUUUUUGUAGGUACCGUAUGAAUAAGGACCGGCUAAUUCCGUGCCAGCCGCCGC
Molecule: ribosomal RNA, 519 nt
Filed under: uncultured bacterium
Lineage: Bacteria
Description: bacterial SSU rRNA
Rfam family: Bacterial small subunit ribosomal RNA
Source: RNAcentral